UUUGUCAUAAAUAAAGUCAUAUAGAGAUUUAUAAGAACUAAAUGUAUUUGAUACAGAUGCUGCCGGUGUUUUACAACAACUAUAUAUGACCGAUGUUAAAAACACGACUUCCCAGGAUUUAUUCAAUUGUCGUAUUAAGCUGCCAAUAGAUGAGCAAUUUUUAGUGGAAGUAUCGUUAACUAAUUCAUCGAAUAUCGGAUUGAAUGUGCAGCACUGAUUCAACUGGUUAACAUAUGUACUUCUGAGCUUCAACUUGUCUUUUGCGAUGAUUGCAGGAAUAUAAAAUUGUUUUUUCUUAACCAUAACAGUUUGACUAGACCAUGGAAUUAGAGCAACAUAUAGCCAUAGCCCAAUUUUCUCAUCUUCACUUAAUUUCAUAAGUUUAGGAAACGUCAAUGCAAGACUCUGAAAUAAAGACUCGGUAGCUUCCAAUGCCUUUGGAAUUUGAAAUUCUUUUUCAGCUGGCAAAGUAUCGAACGUAAACUGAUACGUGUUCGUUGAAUAUAACAGUUGAAGUGCUAGCUUCGCGUUUGCACCCUUCAACAUUUUCUCAAUUUCCUCUCCUACACGUUCCUUGCUAACCUUUUUUUCAAAAGCUUUACAUACUUUCGGAUCUUGGAUAGCGGAAACGACCGACGGAUCAAUUGUAAAUUCAAAUCUGGAUGCAAACCGAAUGCCUCUCAAAAUUCGUAAGGGAUCUUCCAAAAAUGAUUGGAGAGGUGAAAUGGGCGUGACCAACACUUUGGUUUGCAAAUCUUUAUAUCCUCGCUUUGUAAUGUCCUCUAUUUUUUCUGUUCGUAUGUUAAAGAAUAGGGUGUUAACCGUGAAGUCUCUUCUCAAUGCAUCUGUUUCAACAGUUCCUGGGGUAACGCUAGGAAUUCGACUUUUAUCAUCAUAUGAUUCUGCACGAAGUCCUACAAAAUCAAUAUCAAGGUCAAAUAGGGAUAAGGUAGCAGUUUCUAAAUGCUUGCUUUGAUCGGGAUUGACAGUUAGCUUGCCAAGUGCGUCUUUAUAUGGAAUAACUGAGUCAGAGUCGAGAGAGUGAACAUACUCAAAUAUUGAAUUUGCAAAGUCAACACCGGUAACUUUAUUCAACGUAACGUCUAAAUCGUCACUAGAAAGCCCAAGAAGUUUAUCGCGAACCCAUCCUCCUGCCAAUCUAACUUCCAAUGACGAACUGCUGCUGGAUUUAGAUUCAAUAAAAUCAGCAGUCUUUUUCAAAAGAUUAACAACUUUUUUCUCAACAUCGUUCAAUACAAUUCUAGAAUACAUUUUCGUCAGCCAAAUUCCAUAAACGAUACACAGUUUGGGCAAUACCGGUUUCUCUAAGGUUGGCAGGUUGAGGUUUGAAUAUGCUUCUCUUAAAGAAGGACAUGUAGUAGUAAUU
Schizosaccharomyces pombe (fission yeast) is the source of this 1387-nucleotide non-coding RNA. NCBI's taxonomy places the organism in Eukaryota, Fungi, Ascomycota, Schizosaccharomycetes, Schizosaccharomycetales, Schizosaccharomycetaceae. The record is from the annotation of a GenBank genome assembly.